This 221-nucleotide long non-coding RNA is filed under the name Lathyrus oleraceus (garden pea). Its description in RNAcentral is "Pisum sativum (pea) long non-coding RNA (PSAT_LNC023830)". Lineage: Eukaryota; Viridiplantae; Streptophyta; Magnoliopsida; Fabales; Fabaceae. The record is from RNAcentral.
GCACGGGCUCUCGUAUAUGGUUAUUCGUUAGGGAUCAACUGGAAUGAUUGUGGGGAAAAUGAGUCAACUGUACAGAGGAAUGUUUGUAAAGAUAUGCAUGAAGUAUGCAAUAUGCUAUGUAUGCAAUGUAUGAUCGAUCUCUUAUCUUUCGUUUUUCUUUAUAUUUUUCAUUCUUUCCUUUUUCAUUCUUUUUUUUCAUUCUUUUUUCAUUCUUACCUCCG